CCCACACUCCUAAAUUACAUUGUAUACCGCCUAAACUUUACCCACUCUCCUAAAUUACACAGAACUCCUGCGCCUUUUCAGCUUCUUCUGCCGACGAUCACAAUAUGCUAAAUCCUUUCCAUUAUUUUUCCCAACUGAAAGAUUAUCUCAAACCAGUCUCUCACAAGCUAUUGUUUGGAUGCUUCUCAAUUCCACAAUCCAUUCGGCUAAGUGGGAAAGAAAGUUUGUCAGAAAAAAUGACUUCAAAUCGUGAGUGGAUGUACAAAAGGUUAACGAGACGUUUGUGUAAUCCAGAAUUCGUUGGUGUUGAGCAAUUUAUUGAGUUUGUAAAGAAUCAUCGGGAAGGGAGGGAUGGUGAGAGACUAAGGUGCCCAUGUAACCGAAAAAAGUGUCAGAAUAGAAAUUUUGAAGAUGUUCUUACGGUCCACGAACAUUUAUUGUGCGACGGCUUUGUACCUGGAUAUUAUAUAUGGUACUUGCAUGGAGAAAAUAAGGUUACUAGAAAUAUAGUUCAACAUGAAGAGAUGCAAAAUUGGGAUCAGACUAUGAUUACUACAUCAGUAAAUGUGGGUGCAAUUGAUUAGCCUAGAUCACCUACUUCAUACCAUAGAAUGGUCCUUGACGCCGCUGGCCCUUCAUUCAAUCCGAAUGAUAUGGAUGAAUUACCAAAUCCUGAUGCGCAGAAAUUUUAUGAUAUGAUUGAUUCUACAAAUCAAGAGGUGUGGCCUGGCUGUGAAACACAUUCUCAAUUGUCAGCUGUUACACGUUUAUUGCAUAUCAAGUUUGAACACCAUCUAUCUGAUAGAUGUUCUGAUGACAUUUGUCAAUAUGUGAAUGAGAUGAUUCCUCCUGAUAAACUAAUGCCAAAAAAUUUCUAUGAAGCUAAGAAGUUAAUGCAGGGAAUGAACAUGCCAGUAGAAAAAAUUCACAGUUGUAUCAAUGCCUGUAUGAUUUAUUGGGGAGAAGACAGUGAACUUAGUCAUUACAAGUUUUGUCGUCAUCCCAGGUACAAGCCUACUAGGCAAAUAUCUAAUUCAAAGAGAAAUCUUGUACCAUUCAAACAGAUGUACUACUUUUCCCUCACUCCACGGUUGCAACGCGUAUAUGCUUCCAACAUGACUGAUGCACAUAUGCGAUGGCAUACCGAGCAUGAAGUUGAGGAAGGUGUGAUAUGUCAUUGUUCAGAUGCACCCGCAUGGAAACACUUUGAUAAGAUGCAUCCAUCUUUUGAAGCUGAAAGUCAUAAUGUCAGAUUGGUGCUAUGCACACAUGGUUUUCAACCAUUUGGACAAGCAGGUCAACAAUAUUCAUCUUGGCCAAUAGUUGUGACACCAUACAACUUGCCACCUUGGAUGUGUAUGAAAGAGUCCUAUUUGUUUUUGUCAGUUAUAGUUCAUGGGCCGAAGAACCCUAAGCAAAAACUUGAUGUUUUCUUGCAACCUUUGAUUGCAGAACUAAAAAAUCUGUGGAGUAUAGGUGAGGACACAUAUGAUAUCUCUAAGAAGCAAAAUUUUAACAUGCGAGCUGUUUUGAUGUAGACAAUUAGUGAUUUUCCUGCAUAUUCGAUGUUGUCUGGAUGGGGUACUGCGGGUAGGCUAGCAUGUCCAUAUUGUAGGGAGAAUACAGAUGCUUUUACUUUGACAAAAGGUGGCAAACAAUCCUGGUUUGACAAUCAUCGUAUGUUCCUUCCACUGGAUCAUCCAUACAUAACUAAUAGAAAUUCAUUUAGAAAGAAUAAAGUAGUCACAACGCAUCCUCCCCCGAUACAGUCAGGUGAUGAUAUAUUGAAGGAGAUAAAUGAAUUGGGGUUAAAAAAAGGUAACAGAGCUUGGGGCUGAUAUUGUUAAUGGCAAAAUUAGCAAGUUUUCUGGUUGGAAGAAAAGAAGCAUAUUUUGGGAUUUACCGUAUUGGAGUACAAAUCUCAUUCGGCACAAUCUAGAUGUUAUGAACAUCGAGAAAACUUUUUCGAGAAUGUGUUCAACACAGUGCUAGAUGUAGAUAGUAAAACAAAAGAUAAUCCCAAAUCUAGAGAAGACUUGAAAGAGUUCUGUCGACGGCUUGAAUUACAUGCUGUUGGUGACGAAUAUCCGAAAGCUUGUUACACACUAGACAAGAAGUCAAAAAAAGUGUUGUGUGAAUGGGUGGAGAAUUUGAAAUUUUCAGAUGGAUAUGUCUCAAAUAUGGGAAGGAGUGUGGACAUGAAAAAACAUAAAUUGUUUGGUAUGAAAAGCCACGAUUGUCAUGUAUUAAUGCAAAGAUUGGUCCCUAUUGCGUUUCGUGAGCUAUUACCACCAAAAGUUUGGGAACCACUUGCUGAGAUGAGCCUUUUCUUUAGGGAUCUCACUUCUACAGCAAUUUGGGAAGAGGAUAUGGUCAGACUUGAACAAGAAAUACCUGAAAUACUUUAUAAAUUGGAGCGUAUAUUCCCUUCCAGCUUCUUUGAUUAAAUGGAACAUCUCCCCGUACAUCUUGCUUACGAAGCAAGGAUAGCAGGUCCGGUGCAAUAUCGAUGGAUGUACCCAUUUGAGAGAAACCUUCGGAAAUUGAAAAAUAAUGUUCGAAAUAAGGCACAAGUUGAAGGAUUCAUAUGCAAUGCGUAUUUAGUUGAGGAAGCUUCAUCUUUUUGUUCACACUACUUCGAACCUCAUGCUUACACAAGGCAUAGGAAAGUUCCACGGAAUGAUGAUGGUGGUACAAGGGAAAAGGAUGAACACGAUGGUAAUCUUUCUAUAUUUACCUAUCCAGGUAAGGCAUUUGGGAGAUGCAAAACCAAGAUAUAUGACUGAAGAAGAACUUGAUGCAGCUCAUAUUUAUGUUUUAUUAAAUUGCCCAGAGGUACACCCAUAUAUUGAGUAAGACUUCAAGCUUUUGUUUUCAUUUAUAGAUUAGAAAAAUCAUCAAAACACUUAAUAUAUAAUUUUCUUAGAUGUGAUUCAAAGGAUUUUUAUUGACUCCCUUCGUCAAAAUUUCCCACAAAUUACGGAGAAGGAAGUGGAUAGGAAACUUGAUGAAGAUUUUGCAUCAUGGUUUAAAAGAUAUGUGAGUACUUAUACGAUAUCCUUCCACUUAUACUUACCUCACUUAUGAGAAACUCUAAUUAUUUUUCUUUUAAGGCACGAGUCCACAUAGAUAAUCAGUUCAUCAAGGCCCUUGCAGAAGGUCUGUGUCGAACAACGCAACCAUAGACCGGUUAUAUUGUCAACGGCUUUAAAUUUCACACUAAAAGCCGCAGUUCUUCUAGAGCAUCUAAUAACAGCGGUGCAUGCAUAAAAGGAACUAGUUAUAGUGCAGAUGAUAGUGACUACUAUGGUGUGCUAACUGAUAUCCUUGAAUUGGAGUACAAGGGUAGUGAGUAUAUAAAGAGAACUGUUUUAUUCAAGUGCGAGUGGUUUGAUCCCACACCAAAGGCAGGAAAAAAAAAUGAAGAUUCACCCACAAUAUAAACUUGUGGAUAUCAACCAUGAAAAGAAAUUAAAGAAGUAUGAACCAUUUGUUUUGGCAAUGCAAACGGCUCAAGUGUAUUAUACAACUUAUCCUAGCUUACGACGUGAUAAGAGUGACUGGUGGGCUGUGUGCAAAAUAAAAGCAUGGGGUAUUGUGGACAUGCCUCCAUCAUCUUCACAGUCAACUCCGACAGAUGGUGUUGAGCCAUUCCAAUCCGAAGAAGAUGGUUUAACAUUUGGUGUGGUACCUGACAAUGAAACUGUUCUCCUAAAUGAUCCAAAUGGUGAAUUCAUAAACAUAAGAGACGAAGAUAAUGAUUUAUGAUGAGGUAGAACUUCAUGUUGAAUUUGGGUCGGAUGAAGAUGAGGAUGAGGAUAAUGAGGAUGAAGCGCCAUAUGAUGAAAAUGACAGUGAAUAGAGUCAAAGUGCUUCAAUCUCUUCAACUAUAGAGUCUGAAUGAAUGAAACAUAGUAUAUAAUUUAUUUUUAUUACUAUUUGAUGAAAACUUUUCUAUUUCAUUUUAUAUGAAGUAAGACUUGGUCUUAUUAGGAAAAGUUUUGGAAUAAUGUAUAUGAUUUGCCAAUAUGAGAGCAUUAAUGUGGUCUUCGUUGCAUACCAAAAUCUUAAUUCCUACAUAUUAACUCUAGUUAGGAGGUAACAACUCAUUUACUGCAGUACUUGUAUAAAAUAAAGAUAUUACUUACACUUCACACAAAAAAAUAUAAAUUGGUUCAUAAGAAGAUGGGCAGAAGAAUGUCCCUUUUGAUCAUUAUUAAGCAUCGCAUAAGUAAUUCACGUUAUUUCUCAAAUGCUUCUUGAAAGAAUAUGAAAUAUUUAAAUGAAAUAGAGUAAUAAAAUAAUUCAUUUCUUAUUUA
This is a non-coding RNA of Nicotiana tabacum (common tobacco), 4319 nucleotides long. NCBI's taxonomy places the organism in Eukaryota, Viridiplantae, Streptophyta, Magnoliopsida, Solanales, Solanaceae. The record is from RefSeq and is a predicted model, not a curated record.